GGGCGGCUAGCUCAGUUGGCAGAGCGUCUGCUUUACACGCAGAAUGUCAGGGGUUCGAGUCCCUUGCCGCCCACCU
Molecule: transfer RNA, 76 nt
Filed under: Ktedonobacterales bacterium
Lineage: Bacteria; Bacillati; Chloroflexota; Ktedonobacteria; Ktedonobacterales
Description: tRNA-Val
Rfam family: tRNA
About the family: Transfer RNA (tRNA) molecules are approximately 80 nucleotides in length. Their secondary structure includes four short double-helical elements and three loops (D, anti-codon, and T loops).
Source: RNAcentral